RNAcentral lists this long non-coding RNA (1246 nucleotides) under Marmota monax (woodchuck). Lineage: Eukaryota; Metazoa; Chordata; Mammalia; Rodentia; Sciuridae. The record is from RNAcentral.
GAAGAUCUGAAAAAUUCCACCAGAAAACUUCUAGAACUAAUAAAUGAAUUCAUCAAAGUAUCAGGAUAUAAAAUCAACACUCAUAAAUCAAACACAUUCCAAUAUAUCAGUGAUGAAACUAUGAAAGAGAAAUGAGGAAAACUACCCCUAUUCACCAUAACCUUAAAAAAAAAAUACUUGGGAAUCAAUCUACCAAAAGAGGUGAAAGAUCUCGACAAUGAAAACUAAAGAACACUAAAGAAAGAAACUGAAGAAGAAGACCUUAGAAGAUGGAAAGAUCUCCCAUGUUCUUGGAUAGGCAGAAUUAAUAUUGUCAAAAUGGCCAUUCUACAAAAAGCAUUUUACAGAUUUAAUGCAAUUCCUAUUAAAAUUCCAAUGACAUUCUGCAUAAAAAUAGAAAAAGCAGUCAUGAAAUUCAUUUGGAAAAAUAAGAGGCCCAGACUAGCCAAUACAAUCUUCAGCAAGAAAAGUAAAGCACGAACAUCACAAUACCAGACCUUAAAUUAUACUACAGAGCUUUAAUAACAAAAGUGGCAUAGUAUUGGCACCAAAACAGACAUGAAGACCAAUGAUACAAAAUAGAAAACACAGAGACAAACUCACAUGAAUACAGUUAACUCAUACUAGAAAAAGGUGCCAUAAACAUACAGUGGAGAAAAGAGCCUCUUCAACAAAUGGUGCUGAGAAAACUGGAAAUCUAUAUGCAGCAAAAUGAAAUUAAACCCCUAUUUCUCACCCUACACAAAACUCAACUCAAAGUGUAUCUAAGACCGAGCAUUAGACCAGAGACCCUGAGCCUAACAAAAGAAAAUGUAGGCCCAAAUUUAUAUUAUGUCAGCUUAGGAAUCAAAUUCCUCAACAAGACUCCAAAAGCACAAGAAGUAAAAUCAAGAAUCAAUACAUUGGAUAGUAUCAAACUAAAAACCAUCUUCACAGCAAAGGAAACAAUCAAGAGCAUGAAGAGAGGGCCUACAGAACGAGAGGAAAUCUUUGCCACCCACACCUCAGAUAGAGCAUUAAUCUCCAGGAUUUAUAGAGAACUCAAAUAACUUAACACACACCCACACACACACACAAAAAAUAAACAAAAAUAAACAAAAAACCAAAUAACCCAAUCAAUAAAUGGGCAAGACUGAACAGGCACUUCGUAGUAACAUCCGUCAACAAAUAUAUGAAAAAAUGUUCAACAUCUCUAGCAACUAGAGAAAUGCAAAUCAAAACUACACUGAGAUUUCAUCUCACUCCA